CAAUCAGGUAGGAUUACCCGCUGAACUUAAGCAUAUCAAUAAGCGGAGGAAAAGAAACUAACAAGGAUUCCCCUAGUAACUGCGAGUGAAGCGGGAAAAGCUCAAAUUUAAAAUCUGGCGGUCUUUGGCCGUCCGAGUUGUAGUCUGGAGAAGUGCUUUCCGCGCUGGACCGUGUACAAGUCUCUUGGAACAGAGCGUCAUAGAGGGUGAGAAUCCCGUCUUUGACACGGACUACCAGUGCUUUGUGAUGUGCUCUCAAAGAGUCGAGUUGUUUGGGAAUGCAGCUCAAAAUGGGUGGUAAAUUCCAUCUAAAGCUAAAUAUUGGCGAGNAGACCGAUAGCGAACAAGUACCGUGAGGGAAAGAUGAAAAGCACUUUGGAAAGAGAGUUAAACAGUACGUGAAAUUGCUGAAAGGGAAACGCUUGAAGUCAGUCGCGUUGGCCAGGACUCAGCCUUGCUUUUGCUUGGUGCAUUUUCUGGUUGACGGGCCAGCAUCGAUUUUGANCGCUGGAAAAAGGUUAGGGGAAUGUGGCACCUUCGGGUGUGUUAUAGCCCUUAGUCGCAUACAGUGGUUGGGAUCGAGGACCGCAGCACGCCUUUAUGGCCGGGGUUCGCCCACGUUCGUGCUUAGGAUGCUGGCGUAAUGGCUUUAAACGACCCGUCUUGAAACACGGACCAAGGAGUCUAACAUGCCUGCGAGUGUUUGGGUGGAAAACCCGAGCGCGUAAUGAAAGUGAAAGUUGAGAUCCCUGUCGUGGGGAGCAUCGACGCCCGGACCUGAACUUCGGUGAUGGAUCUGCGGUAGAGCAUGUAUGUUGGGACCCGAAAGAUGGUGAACUAUGCCUGAAUAGGGUGAAGCCAGAGGAAACUCUGGUGGAGGCUCGUAGCGAUUCUGACGUGCAAAUCGAUCGUCAA
This 915-nucleotide ribosomal RNA is filed under the name Fomitopsis pinicola. Its description in RNAcentral is "partial large subunit ribosomal RNA". It matches the Rfam family "Eukaryotic large subunit ribosomal RNA", at positions 1 to 908 of the family's 3401-position model. The record is from RNAcentral. Lineage: Eukaryota; Fungi; Basidiomycota; Agaricomycetes; Polyporales; Fomitopsidaceae.